GGACGGCGCCGUCAAGGUGGCGAACCGAGACUUGACACCUCGGGGCGUCGAGUAGCACUCGAUGGGGGUUCGAUUCCUCCGCCGUCCG
This 88-nucleotide transfer RNA is filed under the name Thermoleophilia bacterium. RNAcentral describes it as "tRNA-Ser". Lineage: Bacteria; Bacillati; Actinomycetota; Thermoleophilia. The record is from RNAcentral.